This 1269-nucleotide long non-coding RNA is filed under the name Sorghum bicolor (sorghum). RNAcentral describes it as "long non-coding RNA (SBIC_LNC015258)". The record is from RNAcentral. Lineage: Eukaryota; Viridiplantae; Streptophyta; Magnoliopsida; Poales; Poaceae.
UCCGAGCCCCGGCCCGCGCAUGGCCCUUCCUAAUUAGAGAUGUGGCAUACCAUUUGAGGACGGGUCAUGACACAGCCCAAAGCAUGAAACAGCAGUGCACAAAAUAUUUUCGACCAUGCCAAACCAAAACAUACCGUUUAAAUUGGUGUAAACAUAUUCUUGACGAAUCUACAUGAGUAAGUGUUCAAAAGUGGAAUGUGUAGACUCUGUAUAUCCACCCAAGCAUUCAGUGCACAAGGCACUCAGUGCACAACAAGCUAACAAUGAGUUCUCCUAGCUAGGUUGCCUUGUUAGUUUGUUACAUGGAAGGUUGUCUAGUAGGGAGUUCAGUUUGACUGACUUUAUUCAGUGUUACUAACUCAUUGUUUAUUUCAGCUUGGUUCGUAUCAGCUAUGUGUAGUGCUGCUAGUGGUAAUGAACUGAAUGGCCAACCAGCUAUAUAUAUAGGAGAACUCUGAUAUAUAAGCAGCGUUCCGUACAUCAGGAAAUAGCAGUUUCAAGAAAAAACCUAACCUGUAGAACGAUACCUGUUGCCAGCCGCCACCGGUAGUGCCAACCGGCCAAAACCAGUGCAAACUGUGAUUGAACAGGCCUCACAAAAAACACCACGCGUACGGUGUGGCUGGCCUAAAGUAGCACAAUUUUCACGUGUUGAUUGAGGCUUGAACUCAUAGAUAUACAAUACAUAAGUUUCUGAUUGCACAAAUUUCACUCUUGGUAGAGGCCAAUGAACACUCAUGUGACUGGAAACCAUUAUUCCUAUAUAUGUGCUGAAAACCCGUCAAGAAAGCUGAAAAAACCAUGAGGGAAAUAAAUUCUGUCGGGCAACCGACAGGCAAAUCCUGUCAGGGAUAGAUCAACUGAGAAAUUCUUUUUGCCUAUAAGUUUCCCGUCAGAAAGAUUAUCUCUGACGGUACUUUUCUUAUGGCAAGCUCACAGAAAAAUUGCGCGUCCUUGGAUUAGGAAACCGUCAGGUUAAAUGUUUUCCCGUUAGGCAGCCCUCAAGAAAUGUAUAGUUUUUUCUUUUGCUGCCACACUAUUUCUAUGUAGGUUGGCCUUCAAGGUAUUUGUAAUCUCCAAUGCUGCAUCUUUGAAUGCUUAAUUAUAUCGCUCCAACGCUGAGUUCCUUGGUGCCACCCAUUCAUAUGAAACGAGCAAGGUGGUGGUACAGCUUUGGAAUGUGGAGAUUGCAAACAAGGAGAGGCGAACGCGAGCGAGGCGCUGGGUUUUAUGCUCCUCUCAGGCUUUGGUGGAAAAGUAUAAAGGUGA